UGUUUAAAUUAUCCCUCAAGCUGUAUUAACCAGGUGCCUAGUUAUGACAAUCAAAGCACAGCCUGGUUUUUUCUUGUUCUUGCCAAUAUUAUUGCUUUUCUUUUCUUUUGGAAUUUCUUCUCUUGGUUAUGAGGUUCCGUAUCCAAAAACUGACAAGGAGCGAUGUUUAGAACGUUGCCAUGAAACUAAGAAAGACUUUUCAGGGUUGAUUUCCUGUGCAAGUCAUUGUGAACGGAAAUAUGAAAACCAUAGAGAGGAAAAGCGUGAAGGUGAAGAAAUCUCACCCCGAGAUCCAAAGAGCCCUCGAUGGAAGAUUGAGCGUUGCCAGGAACAAUGCCGAAGGGAGGAGUCUGAUGAUAGAAUGCUACAGAGAUGUCAGAAACGCUGUGAAGAGGAAGUUAUCAAAGAGAGAGAGGGCGAAAGUGAGGAUCCUCGCGUGCAAUAUGAGAGAUGCCAAGAGCUAUGCGAUAGACAACCAGAACGCCAGAAAUCGCAGUGUCGAGGAAGGUGCGAGAGGCAAUUUGAGGAAAAACAGAAAGAACGUGAAGAAAGAGGCUCGGACAGAGGAACCAAAAGCAGAGAAAUGGAGAAACAGAGGGAUAACCCUUACUAUUUCCAUGCACAGAGAUUACAGUCUCGACAUAAGACACAAGAAGGUCAUAUUAGUGUUCUUGAGAAGUUCUCUGAUAGGUCUGAGCUUCUACGUGGUAUAGAAAAUUAUCGUUUGUCAACGUUGGAAGCAAAUCCUAACACUUUUGUUGUCCCACACCAUUGUGAUGCAGAAUCCAUUAUUGUUGUCCUAAGGGGUAAAGGGACUAUUACUUGUGUGCUGCGGGAUGAAAGACGUUCCUACAACCUGGAGAAAGGAGAUGUUAUCAGGAUUCCUGCAGGGGCAACUCUAUACUUGAUUAACCGUGAUAAUAACGAAAAACUGAAUAUGGUAAAGCUUAUGCAACCUGUCAAUUCCCCUGGAAAUUUCAGGGAAUAUUUCGCUGCAGGAGGAGAUAACCCUGAGUCAUUUUAGACAGUCUUCAUCAAUGAUGUUCUUGAAGCUGCUCUUGACACUCCAAGAGAUCAGCUAGACAGACUAUUUGGACAACAGAGACAAGGUGUGAUUCUAAAGGCUUCUCAAGAACAUCUCAAGGCGUUAAGCCAACAUAUUUCAUCAACGAAGCAGAAAGGCCAUGAAUCUGAACGCCCUUUUAAUCUUCUCAAUCGGCAACCUUUGUACUCAAAUAGAUUUGGUAACUUCAUUGAAGCCUCAUUGCAGGACGUAGACAUCUCUGUUUCUUAUGCAGAAAUCAAAAGAGGAGCUUUAAUGGUGCCACACUAUAAUUCGAAGGCUACAAUGAUUGCUUUAGUUGUGGAAGGAGCUGGACGCUUUGAAAUGGCUUGUCCACAUCUAGCAAGUCAAAGAAUGGAACCUAGAGAAGAACCACCAGAGGGGACUCGACAAUACCAAAAGAUAAGCUCUGACUUAUCUCCUGGUGAUGUCUUCAUAACACCGGCAGGUCAUCCAGUUGCAGUUCUGGCUUCCCAAAACCAGAAUCUGAUUUUAAUAGGCUUCGCAAUCAAUGCACGGGAUAACCAGAGAAAUUUCCUUGCUGGACGGGACAAUAUAAUGAACCAGAUUGAGAGAGAAGCAAAGGAGCUGUCUUUCAACUCACCAGCAGAACUGAUAGAAAAGAUAUUUAGAAACCAAAAAGAAUCACACUUUGUGGCUGCGCGUCAACAGAGCCAUGGAAGAGAAGAGGAUAGAGACCACUCUAUCCCUUCAAUUUUGGAUUUUUCCGGUUUCUUUUAGUUCGGUUAAUGUAAUAGUACAGAAGGUUGGUCGUUUAAAGUGUUAAAAUUAUGUAAAUUACCUAUAGAGUACUGACAAUAUGUGUCUAUGGAGAUUAAGAUCUCCACUGUGGAUAAAUAAGAGAAGAGUACUCUCUUUUUGUCUUUAUAAUCAAAUCAAUUUAUAAA
Molecule: non-coding RNA, 1971 nt
Organism: Jatropha curcas
Lineage: Eukaryota; Viridiplantae; Streptophyta; Magnoliopsida; Malpighiales; Euphorbiaceae
Source: RefSeq, a predicted model, not a curated record